This is a long non-coding RNA of Microcebus murinus (gray mouse lemur), 1536 nucleotides long. RefSeq lists it as uncharacterized. Lineage: Eukaryota; Metazoa; Chordata; Mammalia; Primates; Cheirogaleidae. The record is from RefSeq and is a predicted model, not a curated record.
ACAAGCACCCUCAAUUUGCUCACUCUGCAGAUGAGGAAAUGGAAACCUGCAGAUGCCAAGUUGACCUCCAGGGUGCGCACAGCCCGUAAGGGGCAGGGGCGAGACUCGAAACCAGCCCGACCAGAGUCCAAAGCCUGUGCCAUCAGCCACUGUGCCUGCCUGCCUCUCGGUAUGCCACAUUCUGUCAGGGCACGUAUGACAUAGGUGGAUCAGAACAGAAUUUUAGAUUGGAAGACACAAGAAGGAAUGAAAACUAUUCCAAGAGCAAACAAGAAAAGAACGUAUGCUAAGAGAAGUCAGAAGACGCUCCCUGUAGCAGUCCCUGGACCUGGAGCUUCACGCGUCACUUGGAAACUUGCAAAAACUGGGAAACUCUGGGGAUGGGCCCAGCAACCGCGUUGUCACAGCCCUCCGGGGGAUUCCGACGAUGCAGGCUCCCUCUGAGACCCGCUGCUCCAGGCCUACGGAUUCUUCGCAAACGAGAUUGGAAGACUCGAGACUGUGUAAGGAUCAAAUGAGAAAAAGGACGGGAAGGCUUUGAGGCUCGGCGAGUCUGUGCACGCCCAGAGCGUGUGGCAGGGUCCCUGCUUGUCCCUCUCGCCCGGCCUUGGCCCCACCCAUUCCCGGAGCUUCCACCUCCCCGUCUCCAGGGGCGGUUCCCCAGGGCAGGCCCGGGGUCUCCUCGUCUCCUCCUCAGGGCUGCUCCGAGCUGCUCCUCCAAUUCACUGAAAGCUGAAUAAGUAAAGAAUCGACUUGCUAAGUGACUAAUGAAGAGAACACACCAAAUAUACAGAUUUGUCAACAACUUGUUUCUUUAGGCUCUCUGCAGAGGAUUUGGCAGUUCUUACAGGACGUGAUGAUUCUGUCAGCUGAGCCGUGUUUAGGGCGCGCUCCGUUUGUGCAGCUGAGGGGGUCCUGGGCUGCCAGAGCGCAGUGCUGAGGGAGGGAAAGGGCACGACAGUCCACACAGGGCCCUGCCUGGAUGCCCGGCUCAGAGAGGGACCCAGGAGUGGGGAAAUAGGGAGCCCCAGAGCCCGGACUCCUGCAGGCCUCUUAGGCCCUGCCAAUUUACUCGGUGGAAAUCGCUGGAGACUGUGCUGAGUACGUUUUUUAAAGAUCCAUUCGCUGAUCAGUGUGUGGUCCGCUGGCCUCGAGGGACUUGUUGAGACCCAGACAAACCCUUCCAAGUGGAUUUUCAGCCACUUAGGAGCACAUGUGGCUGAGCCCUCUUCUUAACUGCAAGGGGAUUAGUGUUGUCUCUGAUGGGCCCUUGGACUAGAACCAACAGCUCAGCGUAGUUACCAACAUCCCAGCAGAGGCCAUGGAAUCCCCGAUGUGGCAUUCGGUGCCACCUAGAAGAGUCAGGCCUCUGCAUGUUUUAGGUAACGUCUCUGCUUUUUCUCUGCCUGAACUUUCCCAAAGCUGCCACUUUCUCUACCUGAUUCAACAACUUUUUCCUUUGUCAGCCAUGACUGAGGCUCAGAGAACUUUCCCCAUUUGCAAACGUCCUCUGUGUCUGCUCAGCUUCCCGGCUGG